AGCGAACGCUGGCGGCAGGCCUAACACAUGCAAGUCGAACGGAUCCUUCGGGAUUAGUGGCGGACGGGUGAGUAACACGUGGGAACGUGCCCUUUGGUUCGGAACAACUCAGGGAAACUUGAGCUAAUACCGGAUGUGCCCUUCGGGGGAAAGAUUUAUCGCCAUUGGAGCGGCCCGCGUCUGAUUAGCUAGUUGGUGAGGUAAAGGCUCACCAAGGCGACGAUCAGUAGCUGGUCUGAGAGGAUGAUCAGCCACAUUGGGACUGAGACACGGCCCAAACUCCUACGGGAGGCAGCAGUGGGGAAUCUUGCGCAAUGGGCGAAAGCCUGACGCAGCCAUGCCGCGUGAAUGAUGAAGGUCUUAGGAUUGUAAAAUUCUUUCACCGGGGACGAUAAUGACGNACCCGGAGAAGAG
Molecule: ribosomal RNA, 414 nt
Filed under: Caulobacter vibrioides
Lineage: Bacteria; Pseudomonadati; Pseudomonadota; Alphaproteobacteria; Caulobacterales; Caulobacteraceae
Description: bacterial SSU rRNA
Rfam family: Bacterial small subunit ribosomal RNA
Source: RNAcentral